UUACCGAGGCUGCUGGCACGUAGUUAGCCGGUGCUUCUUAUGCGGGUACCGUCAUCAACACGCUAUGUUAGAGCGUGCCAUUUCUUCCCCGCCGAAAGAGCUUUACAACCCGAAGGCCUUCUUCACUCACGCGGCAUGGCUGGAUCAGGCUUGCGCCCAUUGUCCAAAAUUCCCCACUGCUGCCUCCCGUAGGAGUCUGGGCCGUGUCUCAGUCCCAGUGUGGCGGAUCAUCCUCUCAGACCCGCUACGGAUCGUCGCCUUGGUAGGCCUUUACCCCACCAACUAGCUAAUCCGACAUCGGCCGCUCCGAAAGCGCAAGGUCUUGCGAUCCCCUGCUUUCCUGCUCACAGAAUAUGCGGUAUUAGCGUAACUUUCGCUACGUUAUCCCCCACUUCCGGGUACGUUCCGAUGCAUUACUCACCCGUUCGCCACUCGCCAUCAGGUGCAAGCACCCAUGCUGCCGUUCGACUUGCAUGUGUAAGGCAUGCCGCCAGCGUUCAAUCUGAGCCAGGAUCAAACUC
Molecule: ribosomal RNA, 521 nt
Filed under: uncultured beta proteobacterium
Lineage: Bacteria; Pseudomonadati; Pseudomonadota; Betaproteobacteria
Description: partial 16S ribosomal RNA
Source: RNAcentral